AAUAAUACAGAAGCUGGAUAAAUUCUCUUGAAUUUUUAUAUGCUGCUGCAGACAUGAAAAUAAUACUGCUAGCAUUUUGUUUACUGUUUUGCUAAUGAUGUUUGGCUGUCCAAAACUUUGUCUUCUGGAAGGGUGAUGGUAGGUUUUUGUUUUGCUUUUAAAAUUUAAAACAAAAAUGUAAAGCUUCUAGUCAGAAAUAAACAUCUAUAAUCUGGAUUAAGAUAAUAAUCAAAAAUCUUUAGUUUUAACAUGUCUAUUUAGAGAUAUAUUUUAUGUGAUACCUAAUAAGGUAUCAUCUAUAUAGUGGAGGAAACAGUGUAGUGAAAUUAUAAACAAAAAAUAUGAGCAGCUCGGAUAUGAAGAAUUCUGUGAAAUAAGGCCAGGGUAAAUUAGCAUAGUCCUCCUUGUCUUAGUUUCUAGUCUGAGAGGAGGAUAUUAACUGCUGAUAAAAUCAGAGUAGGAAACCAAUGCUUCCAUUAAAAAGUUAUAAUUUUGGAUAUUGAAACAGACCUUACUUUUCUCUCUCUUUUUUCCCAGCAUCAAGAAAAUGAUCCAUAUCUCAUUUGCUUGAGAACCAUCAGUCACCAUUCUAGAGAUAUGGCUAAUUACUUUUAAUUAAAAAUAAUAUUUUGAUACAGCUCUGCUGUCUCUGCUGGAAUUGUUUUAAACUUAUUAUGUUCUUACCACCAAUUUUCUGCAAUACAGCUUAGGAGGAAUUUGUUCGAUAGCAACAUGUCUGAAGAGUAUCAAGGAUGAAAUUCUCAAGGGUCUUUAUGUCAUGGAUGGAAAUGGAAUCAUUACUGUAUUUUUGAACUCCUGCUAACGUCAUUGACACCCACCUACAGUCCACUAGAAAUAUAAGAGCAGAGAUCAGUUUGUUCACAGAUUACGGGCAGACUAACCAAGAAGGGGCAAGCCAGAGCCAAAUUCACUGACUGCUCAUCUCCAACAUGUGGAAAGUGGUGCUCCUGGGUCUAUACAUAGUGUUGGCUCUGAGAGGAUUGGCAAAGGGUGCUCCUUUCCAACCAGAAGAAAAAUGGAAACCUCUAGAUAACCCGAGAAACAGAGACCUGUUUUUCAGAACGCUCCAGGCUUAUUUUUCGGGCAGGGGGCUUGAUCUCAGGAGGUUCCCAGCUACUGUCACUGUGAACAAGGAAGGACCAAGGCCUCUCAUGUUCUACGCAGAUCCAAUUGCUUCUGCAUUUGCAGAUUACGAAGAAAGGAAAAAUUCUUUUCCAAGUCAUUUCAAAGGCUGAAAGAUGCUGUUGACCAAGGUAAAGGCUGUAGAACUUCACACGAAGUGAUAACCUUCACAGCAAAAUUUUACUGCUUUGACUUUUUAAUUGUUACCUGACAGUUUAAAAUGUUCUUCACUGUCACAGUUCCUACCUAUGGAAUGUGAUGUCAUGCUGUAAUUAGCAUAUAUUCGGUCUCUUGACAAAUGUUUGGCUGUUUGGCUGCUACUCAGCUGUGGGCUGAGUCGGCUGAGCAGAAUUGUGUUUGAGUGUGAAUAAACGAGGAGUGCAAAAGAGUGCUUGCGGUUAC
This 1545-nucleotide long non-coding RNA is filed under the name Manacus vitellinus (golden-collared manakin). RNAcentral's name for it is "lncRNA (ENSMVIG00005018043.1)". The record is from RNAcentral. Lineage: Eukaryota; Metazoa; Chordata; Aves; Passeriformes; Pipridae.